CACGGCGCCCCGGCCCGAGGCCUGGCGCAGAGCAGCGGGAGGCGGCGCAGGCCGCGGCGGGGCCUGCAGCGGCCGCCGACCCCGCAACGCGGGGGAGAGAGCCCUGGAGCGGCUCCGCCUCGGGCUCGGCUGCUGGGGGCGUCCCCUCAGCUACUUACCGGGGGAGAAGAGAGCCGGGAUCCCGGGACCCGGGGCUGGACCGCGGAGAUGCCCCAAACUGACACGGCCGCCAUCUUGGAGACACAAGGACUUCUGGGAAGAUGGCAGAGUGGUGAACAGCAGAGAAACAGCCUCUCCAAGAUCUGGUGUCCAGACCCUGGAAUACAAUGUGAGGAAGAGAAGAAAAAGGGAAAUGGAUCCCUGGGACCCAGCAAGGAUCAGAAGC
RNAcentral lists this long non-coding RNA (385 nucleotides) under Heterocephalus glaber (naked mole-rat). RNAcentral's name for it is "lncRNA (ENSHGLG00100045443.1)". Lineage: Eukaryota; Metazoa; Chordata; Mammalia; Rodentia; Bathyergidae. The record is from RNAcentral.